RNAcentral lists this ribosomal RNA (165 nucleotides) under uncultured bacterium. RNAcentral describes it as "partial 16S ribosomal RNA". It matches the Rfam family "Bacterial small subunit ribosomal RNA", at positions 354 to 511 of the family's 1533-position model. The record is from RNAcentral.
GUAGGGAAUCUUCCACAAUGGACGCAAGUCUGAUGGAGCAACGCCGCGUGAGUGAAGAAGGGUUUCGGCUCGUAAAGCUCUGUUGUUAAAGAAGAACGUGGGUAAGAGUAACUGUUUACCCAGUGACGGUAUUUAACCAGAAAGCCACGGCUAACUACGUGCCAG